GGGAGCUUGCUCCUGGAUUCAGCGGCGGACGGCUGAGUAAUGCCUAGGAAUCUGCCUGGUAGUGGGGGAUAACGUCCGGAAACGGGCGCUAAUACCGCAUACGUCCUGAGGGAGAAAGUGGGGGAUCUUCGGACCUCACGCUAUCAGAUGAGCCUAGGUCGGAUUAGCUAGUUGGUGGGGUAAAGGCCUACCAAGGCGACGAUCCGUAACUGGUCUGAGAGGAUGAUCAGUCACACUGGAACUGAGACACGGUCCACACUAAUACGGGAGGCAGCAGUGGGGAAUAUUGGACAAUGGGCGAAAGCCUGAUCCAGCCAUGCCGCGUGUGUGAAGAAGGUCUUCGGAUUGUAAAGCACUUUAAGUUGGGAGGAAGGGCAGUAAGUUAAUACCUUGCUGUUUUGACGUUACCAACAGAAUAAGCACCGGCUAACUUCGUGCCAGCAGCCGCGGUAAUACGAAGGGUGCAAGCGUUAAUCGGAAUUACUGGGCGUAAAGCGCGCGUAGGUGGUUCAGCAAGUUGGAUGUGAAAUCCCCGGACUCAACCUGGGAACUGCAUCCAAAACUACUGAGCUAGAGUACGGUAGAGGGUGGUGGAAUUUCCUGUGUAGCGGUGAAAUGCGUAGAUAUAGGAAGGAACACCAGUGGCGAACGCGACCACCUGGACUGAUACUGACACUGAGGUGCGAAAGCGUGNGGAGCA
Molecule: ribosomal RNA, 700 nt
Filed under: uncultured bacterium
Lineage: Bacteria
Description: bacterial SSU rRNA
Rfam family: Bacterial small subunit ribosomal RNA
Source: RNAcentral